Molecule: ribosomal RNA, 661 nt
Filed under: Escherichia coli
Lineage: Bacteria; Pseudomonadati; Pseudomonadota; Gammaproteobacteria; Enterobacterales; Enterobacteriaceae
Also listed under: 1 other name
Description: bacterial SSU rRNA
Rfam family: Bacterial small subunit ribosomal RNA
Source: RNAcentral
GGCCGCAAGGUUAAAACUCAAAUGAAUUGACGGGGGCCCGCACAAGCGGUGGAGCAUGUGGUUUAAUUCGAUGCAACGCGAAGAACCUUACCUGGUCUUGACAUCCACGGAAGUUUUCAGAGAUGAGAAUGUGCCUUCGGGAACCGUGAGACAGGUGCUGCAUGGCUGUCGUCAGCUCGUGUUGUGAAAUGUUGGGUUAAGUCCCGCAACGAGCGCAACCCUUAUCCUUUGUUGCCAGCGGUCCGGCCGGGAACUCAAAGGAGACUGCCAGUGAUAAACUGGAGGAAGGUGGGGAUGACGUCAAGUCAUCAUGGCCCUUACGACCAGGGCUACACACGUGCUACAAUGGCGCAUACAAAGAGAAGCGACCUCGCGAGAGCAAGCGGACCUCAUAAAGUGCGUCGUAGUCCGGAUUGGAGUCUGCAACUCGACUCCAUGAAGUCGGAAUCGCUAGUAAUCGUGGAUCAGAAUGCCACGGUGAAUACGUUCCCGGGCCUUGUACACACCGCCCGUCACACCAUGGGAGUGGGUUGCAAAAGAAGUAGGUAGCUUAACCUUCGGGAGGGCGCUUACCACUUUGUGAUUCAUGACUGGGGUGAAGUCGUAACAAGGUAACCGUAGGGGAACCUGCGGUUGGAUCACCUCCUUACCUUAAAGAAGC